RNAcentral lists this ribosomal RNA (1382 nucleotides) under uncultured bacterium. Its description in RNAcentral is "bacterial SSU rRNA". It matches the Rfam family "Bacterial small subunit ribosomal RNA". The record is from RNAcentral.
GAGUUUGAUCCUGGCUCAGGACGAACGCUGGCGGCGUGCUUAACACAUGCAAGUCGAACGAUGAAGCCUAGCUUGCUAGGUGGAUUAGUGGCGAACGGGUGAGUAAUACGUGAGUGACCUACCUUUGACUCUGGGAUAAGCCUGGGAAACUGGGUCUAAUACCGGAUACGACCAAUCUCCGCAUGGGGUGUUGGUGGAAAGCGUUAUGGAGUGGUUUUAGAUGGGCUCACGGCCUAUCAGCUUGUUGGUGAGGUAAUGGCUUACCAAGGCGACGACGGGUAGCCGGCCUGAGAGGGUGACCGGCCACACUGGGACUGAGACACGGCCCAGACUCCUACGGGAGGCAGCAGUGGGGAAUAUUGCACAAUGGGCGCAAGCCUGAUGCAGCGACGCCGCGUGAGGGAUGACGGCCUUCGGGUUGUAAGCCUCUGUUAGCAUCGAAGAAGCGAAAGUGACGGUAGGUGCAGAGAAAGCGCCGGCUAACUACGUGCCAGCAGCCGCGGUAAUACGUAGGGCGCGAGCGUUGUCCGGAAUUAUUGGGCGUAAAGAGCUUGUAGGCGGUUGGUCGCGUCUGCUGUGAAAGGCUGGGGCUUAACCCUGGUUUUGCAGUGGGUACGGGCUAACUAGAGUGCAGUAGGGGAGACUGGAAUUCCUGGUGUAGCGGUGGAAUGCGCAGAUAUCAGGAGGAACACCGAUGGCGAAGGCAGGUCUCUGGGCUGUAACUGACGCUGAGAAGCGAAAGCAUGGGGAGCGAACAGGAUUAGAUACCCUGGUAGUCCAUGCCGUAAACGUUGGGCACUAGGUGUGGGGGACAUUCCACGUUUUCCGCGCCGUAGCUAACGCAUUAAGUGCCCCGCCUGGGGAGUACGGCCGCAAGGCUAAAACUCAAAGAAAUUGACGGGGGCCCGCACAAGCGGCGGAGCAUGCGGAUUAAUUCGAUGCAACGCGAAGAACCUUACCAAGGCUUGACAUAUACUGGACUGCGUCAGAGAUGGCGUUUCCCUCGGGGCUGGUAUACAGGUGGUGCAUGGUUGUCGUCAGCUCGUGUCGUGAGAUGUUGGGUUAAGUCCCGCAACGAGCGCAACCCUCGUUCUAUGUUGCCAGCACGUGAUGGUGGGGACUCAUAGGAGACUGCCGGGGUCAACUCGGAGGAAGGUGGGGAUGACGUCAAAUCAUCAUGCCCCUUAUGUCUUGGGCUUCACGCAUGCUACAAUGGCCGGUACAGAGGGUUGCGAUACUGUGAGGUGGAGCUAAUCCCUAAAAGCCGGUCUCAGUUCGGAUUGGGGUCUGCAACUCGACCCCAUGAAGUCGGAGUCGCUAGUAAUCGCAGAUCAGCAACGCUGCGGUGAAUACGUUCCCGGGCCUUGCACACACCGCCCGUC